AACGCGAAGAACCUUACCAGGUCUUGACAUCCUCUGACACUCCUAGAGAUAGGACGUUCCCCUUCGGGGGACAGAGUGACAGGUGGUGCAUGGUUGUCGUCAGCUCGUGUCGUGAGAUGUUGGGUUAAGUCCCGCAACGAGCGCAACCCUUGAUCUUAGUUGCCAGCAUUCAGUUGGGCACUCUAAGGUGACUGCCGGUGACAAACCGGAGGAAGGUGGGGAUGACGUCAAAUCAUCAUGCCCCUUAUGACCUGGGCUACACACGUGCUACAAUGGAUGGUACAAAGGGCUGCAAAACCGCGAGGUCGAGCCAAUCCCAUAAAAACCAUUCUCAGUUCGGAUUGUAGGCUGCAACUCGCCUACAUGAAGCUGGAAUCGCUAGUAAUCGUGGAUCAGCAUGCCACGGUGAAUACGUUCCCGGGCCUUGUA
Molecule: ribosomal RNA, 429 nt
Filed under: uncultured Bacillota bacterium
Lineage: Bacteria; Bacillati; Bacillota
Description: bacterial SSU rRNA
Rfam family: Bacterial small subunit ribosomal RNA
Source: RNAcentral